This is a non-coding RNA of Cebus imitator (Panamanian white-faced capuchin), 537 nucleotides long. The record is from the annotation of a RefSeq genome assembly. Lineage: Eukaryota; Metazoa; Chordata; Mammalia; Primates; Cebidae.
CUGGGGUCUCAGGAGGCAGCGCUCUGGGGACUUCUCCACUAUGGGCUGGAAUCUGCUCCUCCUCAUUCUCCUCAGUCAGGGCACAGGGUCCUGGGCUCAGUCUGCCCUGACUCAGCCUCGCUCAGUGUCCGGGUCUCCUGGACAGUCGGUCACCAUCUCCUGCACUGGAACCAGCAGUGAUGUUGGGGGUUAUAACUAUGUCUCCUGGUACCAGCAGCACCCAGGCACAGCCCCCAAACUCAUGAUUUACCGUGUCAGCAAUCGGCCCUCAGGGGUCCCUAAUCACUUCUCUGGCUCCAAGUCUGGCAACACGGCCUCCCUGACCAUCUCUGGGCUCCAGGCUGAGGACGAGGCUGAUUAUUACUGCAGCUCAUAUACAAGCAGCGGCACUCUCCACAGUGGUCCAGGUUCAUGGGGAACUGAGACCAAAACCUGCCCUGGGCUCUCAGGCUCCCUCCUUGCUCUGAAGAUGCUUCCUCAGCUGGUCCAAGGUCUGCCGUUAGAUAAGAACAUACUCACUUCAUCUACUUGAUUGGA